AAGACAUGAUCCCAGAAAUAAUUGAUAAGCUGGACUUCAUAAAAAUUAAAAAGUUUUGCUCUGUGAAGGAUGCUGUCAAGAGAAUGAAAAGAUAAUAUAUGAGAAAAUAUUUGCAGAGGACAUAACUGAUAAAGGACUUUUCCAAAAUAUACAAAGAACUCUUAAAACUUAACAAUAAGGCCAGGCGCGGUGGCUCACUCCUGUAAUCCCAGCACUUUGGGAGGCCAAGGCUGGUCUCAAACUCCUGACCUCAUGAUCCGCCUGCCUCAGCCUCCCAAAGUACUGGGAUUACAGGUGUGAGCCACCAUGCCCGGCCCAUACUUAAACUUUUAAUAACAUCACUUAGCCAGGAAUCUCCCAAGGCUACUUUAGGUUUAGAUUUAUUCCAUUGUCCAUUUCUGCUUUAGCCCCACCUAUGAAAGAAGACACAUUCACAACCAGUGGUAGAGAAACUGUGGUUUAUAUGCCCCUCUUAGAAUAACUCUUCAGGCUCUGUUUAUAGCCCUGGGUUCAUGCAUGAUAAAGUAGACAGCAACACCACCAUACAGUGCAGAGGAGUGGCAAGAGAGUAAACGGAAAAGGAGAUGAAAAUAGACCAAGUGGAGAAAGGCCUGGUCAAAAAAGGAGGAAAAGGAAGAUCACUAUGGAAUAAUAGAGAGUUGAAAAAUGAAGUGACACCCAAUAACAGGACGGGACAAUCAGAGAUGACUUGGUUGUAGUGUGGAAACCAGUAGGGACCUUGGGAAGCUGCCAAACCCUUUCUAGCUCUGGGCUCAGCUGUAAGAACUGCUGAUUCCUACAGGAACACUUGGACAAUCCAAUACCUAAAUGUUAACCAUCAAUUAACCCAGUAAACCUGCAAGAUGGAAACGAAGAUUUGUUCUCACGAGUUUCACGUGAUUAUUUAAACACUUCUGGGGCCCAGUAGCCAACUGGGGUCUUCCCAUUGCUGCCAUCAAUGAUAUGAAAAAGUCUCCAGAGAUUAUCAGUGGGCGGAUGACAUUUGCCCUCUGUUGCUAUUCUUUGACAUUCAUGAGAUUUGCCUACAAGGUACAGCCUCGGAACUGGCUUCUGUUUGCAUGCCACGCAACAAAUGAAGUAGCCCAGCUCAUCCAGGGAGGGCGGCUUAUCAAACACGAGAUGACUAAAACGGCAUCUGCAUAACAAUGGAAAAGGAAGAACAAGGUCUUGAAGGGACAGCAUUGCCAGCUGCUGCUGAGUCACAGAUUUCAUUAUAAAUAGCCUCCCUAAGGAAAAUACACUGAAUGCUAUUUUUACUAACCAUUCUAUUUUUAUAGAAAUAGCUGAGAGUUUCUAAACCAACUCUCUGCUGCCUUACAAGUAUUAAAUAUUUUACUUCUUUCCAUAAAGAGUAGCUCAAAAUAUGCAAUUAAUUUAAUAAUUUCUGAUGAUGGUUUUAUCUGCAGUAAUAUGUAUAUCAUCUAUUAGAAUUUACUUAAUGAAAAACUGAAGAGAACAAAAUUUGUAACCACUAGCACUUAAGUACUCCUGAUUCUUAACAUUGUCUUUAAUGACCACAAGACAACCAACAGCUGGCCACGUACUUAAAAUUUUGUCCCCACUGUUUAAAAAUGUUACCUGUGUAUUUCCAUGCAGUGUAUAUAUUGAGAUGCUGUAACUUAAUGGCAAUAAAUGAUUUAAAUAUUUGUUAAA
This 1674-nucleotide long non-coding RNA is filed under the name Homo sapiens (human). RNAcentral's name for it is "HSALNT0116629". The record is from RNAcentral. Lineage: Eukaryota; Metazoa; Chordata; Mammalia; Primates; Hominidae.